GACGAACGCUGGCGGCGUGCUUAACACAUGCAAGUCGAACGGAAAGGCCCUGCUUUUGUGGGGUGCUCGAGUGGCGAACGGGUGAGUAACACGUGAGUAACCUGCCCUUGACUUUGGGAUAACUUCAGGAAACUGGGGCUAAUACCGGAUAGGAGCUCCUGCUGCACGGUGGGGGUUGGAAAGUUUCGGCGGUUGGGGAUGGACUCGCGGGUUAUCAGCUUGUUGGUGGGGUAGUGGCUUACCAAGGCUUUGAAGGGUAGCCGGCCUGGGAGGGUGACCGGCCACAUUGGGACUGAGAGACGGCCCAGACUCCUACGGGAGGCAGCAGGGGGGAAUAUUGCGCAAUGGGCGGAAGCCUGAUGCAGCAACGCCGCGUGCGGGAUGACGGCCUUCGGGUUGUAAACCGCUUUCGCCUGUGACGAAGCGUGAGUGACGGUAAUGGGUAAAGAAGCACCGGCUAACUACGUG
This 468-nucleotide ribosomal RNA is filed under the name uncultured bacterium. RNAcentral describes it as "partial 16S ribosomal RNA". It matches the Rfam family "Bacterial small subunit ribosomal RNA", at positions 28 to 507 of the family's 1533-position model. The record is from RNAcentral.